CAAAAGGCCCUUUUCAGGGCCACCCACCUUUUCCGGAAAAGAGCCA
Molecule: non-coding RNA, 46 nt
Filed under: Podarcis lilfordi (Lilford's wall lizard)
Lineage: Eukaryota; Metazoa; Chordata; Lepidosauria; Squamata; Lacertidae
Rfam family: Histone 3' UTR stem-loop
About the family: The mRNAs of metazoan histone genes lack a poly-A tail. 3' end processing occurs at a site between a highly conserved stem-loop (modelled by this family) and a purine rich region around 20 nts downstream (the histone downstream element, or HDE).
Source: RNAcentral